Molecule: long non-coding RNA, 746 nt
Organism: Ooceraea biroi (clonal raider ant)
Lineage: Eukaryota; Metazoa; Arthropoda; Insecta; Hymenoptera; Formicidae
Source: RefSeq, a predicted model, not a curated record
CAAGGAAGACACGUUUAUCGACCGGUCCGAGUGGCUAAGAGCGAGACGAGGCGCAUCGUGUCCCACGCGAUUAGAUUUUUAUGGUGUCUUAUGGGACACGCUGCGGCGAUUCUCUGUCAAUUCAAUCGAGCCCCAACUCGCGCGCGGGGCGACGAGCACUUAAUUUCGGUGUUUAAGUUACUUGAUCGGCUCGGUCGUCUCAUUGGCUGCGUCGUUUCGGGACACGCGUCCGUUUCAUCGUUUAAUCAUCGUUUAACCGCCUCGUUGGACCCUGCCCCGUUAUUAAAAGUGAUGGCGUACAUCUAAUGUCGAUCAAAGAAACUGGAUCGGUCUUUCAACGACGUUGAGCGUUAAGCACUCGUUCGCGAGAUUUUACGUCUCGAUGCUUCAGUACGUCCGUCAGUAUUUGUACCACACAUGCUCCGACGUUUAAGCUCGACGAAAUUACUAGAGCAUGCGAGGAUCACAUCCCGCCAGAUAAUUUCAUGGAGAAAAAUUGAAUCGCGUACGAGAGACGACUUAACCCACUUAGGGGCCGGUGCUUGUUUAGCUCAUUCCGCCAGAACAUAUGGCUUCGUCUUCGCGGAGAAAAGCGAUACUUGAGUCGCGGUCGUUGACCAGCGAGAAGCAAAGACUUGGCUAUGGUUUUUAAGCAGAAUUUUACGUAACGCCUCAUCACGUUUUACACCGCAUGCGUAUAUUAUUAUAUAUGUAUUAUUAUACAAUAUAAGCAGAUUUUACACUGA